Molecule: transfer RNA, 75 nt
Filed under: Candidatus Harrisonbacteria bacterium RIFCSPLOWO2_02_FULL_45_10c
Lineage: Bacteria; Candidatus Harrisoniibacteriota
Description: tRNA-Arg
Rfam family: tRNA
About the family: Transfer RNA (tRNA) molecules are approximately 80 nucleotides in length. Their secondary structure includes four short double-helical elements and three loops (D, anti-codon, and T loops).
Source: RNAcentral
GCCCUCGUAGUUCAAUGGAUAGAACAGGACUCUUCUAAGGUCUUGAUGUAGGUCCGAUUCCUACCGAGGGCACCA